Molecule: ribosomal RNA, 253 nt
Filed under: uncultured bacterium
Lineage: Bacteria
Description: partial 16S ribosomal RNA
Rfam family: Bacterial small subunit ribosomal RNA
Source: RNAcentral
GACAGAGGCCUCAAGCGUUAGGCGGAAUCACUGGGCUUAAAGCGUGUGUAGGCGGAUCGUUAAGUGCCUUGUGAAAUCCCACGGCUUAACUGUGGAACGGCUGGGCAUACUGGCGGUCUUGAGCCAUCUAGGGGCGACUGGAACAAACGGUGGAGCGGUGAAAUGCGUAGAUAUCUGGAGGAACACCGGUGGCGAAGGCGGCAUCCUGGACCGGCAUUGACGCUGAGGCGCGAAAGCCAGGGGAGCAAACGGG